Molecule: ribosomal RNA, 459 nt
Filed under: uncultured bacterium
Lineage: Bacteria
Description: partial 16S ribosomal RNA
Rfam family: Bacterial small subunit ribosomal RNA
Source: RNAcentral
CCUACGGGAGGCAGCAGUGAGGAAUCUUGGUCAAUGGCCGGAAGGCUGAACCAGCCAAGCCGCGUGAAGGACGAAGGUGCCAAGCAUUGUAAACUUCUUUUGUCAAGGGACAAAAUCAGGCUCGAGAGCCUGACCGAGGGUACCUGAAGAAAAAGCAUCGGCUAACUCCGUGCCAGCAGCCGCGGUAAUACGGAGGAUGCGAGCGUUAUCCGGAUUUCUUGGGUUUAAAGGGGGCGUAGGCGGACUGUUAAGUAUGCGGUAAAAGCCCGGGGCUCAACCCCGGCGAGCCGUUGAAACUGGCGGUCUUGAGAUGUCGAGAGGUAUGCGGAAUGCGCAGUGUAGCGGUGAAAUGCUUAGAUAUUGCGCAGAACUCCGAUUGCGAAGGCAGCAUACCGGCGGCGAUCUGACGCUGAGGCACGAAAGCGUGGGUAUCGAACAGGAUUAGAUACCCCUGUAGUC